Molecule: small nuclear RNA, 104 nt
Organism: Heterocephalus glaber (naked mole-rat)
Lineage: Eukaryota; Metazoa; Chordata; Mammalia; Rodentia; Bathyergidae
Source: Ensembl
GUGCUUGCUUCAGCAGCACAUAUACUAAAAUUGGAAUGAUACAGAGAUUAGCAUGGCUCCUGUGCAAGGAUGACAUGCAAAUUCGUGAAGCGUCCCAUAUUUUU